GGAGGAAAAGAAACCAACAGGGAUUGCCUUAGUAACGGCGAGUGAAGCGGCAAUAGCUCAAAUUUGAAAUCUGGAGCCUUCGGCUUCCGAGUUGUAAUUUGAAGAGGAUGUUUCGGUUGCGGCCUGGGCCUAAGUUCCUUGGAACGGGACGUCAUGGAGGGUGAGAAUCCCGUAAAUGGCUGCCGGCUUGCUUCUAUGUGAAACUCCUUCGAAGAGUCGAGUUGUUUGGGAAUGCAGCUCAAAAUGGGUGGUAAAUUUCAUCUAAAGCUAAAUAUUGGCGAGAGACCGAUAGCGCACAAGUAGAGUGAUCGAAAGAUGAAAAGCACUUUGAAAAGAGAGUUAAACAGUACGUGAAAUUGUUGAAAGGGAAGCGCUUGCAAUCAGACUCACUUUCAGUUGAUCAACGUUCCUUCUGGUUCGUGCACUCUGCUGUUUGUGGGCCAGCAUCAGUUAGGGCGGUGGGACAAAGGUUGCGGGAAUGUGGCUCUCUUCGGGGAGUGUUAUAGCCCGCUUCGUAAUGCCACCAGUUCUGACUGAGGUCCGCGGUUCGCCUAGGAUGCUGGCUUAAUGGUUGUAACCGACCCGUCUUGAAACACGGACCAAGGAGUCUAACAUCUAUGCAAGUCUUUGGGUGUCAAACCCAUGGGCGAAAUGAAAGUGAACGGAGGUGGGAGUCCUCGGAUGCACCAUCGACCGAUCCUGAUGUUCUCGGAUGGAUUUGAGUAGGAGCAUAGCUGUUGGGACCCGAAAGAUGGUGAACUAUGCCUGAAUAGGGUGAAGCCAGAGGAAACUCUGGUGGAGGCUCGCAGCGGUUCUGACGUGCAAAUCGAUCGUCAAAUUUGGGUAUAGGGGCGAAAGACUAAUCGAACCAUCUAGUAGCUGGUUCCUGCCGAAG
RNAcentral lists this ribosomal RNA (895 nucleotides) under Dactylella clavata. RNAcentral's name for it is "LSU rRNA". It matches the Rfam family "Eukaryotic large subunit ribosomal RNA", at positions 52 to 966 of the family's 3401-position model. The record is from RNAcentral. Lineage: Eukaryota; Fungi; Ascomycota; Orbiliomycetes; Orbiliales; Orbiliaceae.